AGCUUGCUCUCGGGUGACGAGCGGCGGACGGGUGAGUAAUGUCUGGGAAACUGCCUGAUGGAGGGGGAUAACUACUGGAAACGGUAGCUAAUACCGCAUAAUGUCGCAAGACCAAAGUGGGGGACCUUCGGGCCUCAUGCCAUCAGAUGUGCCCAGAUGGGAUUAGCUAGUAGGUGGGGUAACGGCUCACCUAGGCGACGAUCCCUAGCUGGUCUGAGAGGAUGACCAGCCACACUGGAACUGAGACACGGUCCAGACUCCUACGGGAGGCAGCAGUGGGGAAUAUUGCACAAUGGGCGCAAGCCUGAUGCAGCCAUGCCGCGUGUGUGAAGAAGGCCUUCGGGUUGUAAAGCACUUUCAGCGGGGAGGAAGGCGAUAAGGUUAAUAACCUUGUCGAUUGACGUUACCCGCAGAAGAAGCACCGGCUAACUCCGUGCCAGCAGCCGCGGUAAUACGGAGGGUGCAAGCGUUAAUCGGAAUUACUGGGCGUAAAGCGCACGCAGGCGGUCUGUCAAGUCGGAUGUGAAAUCCCCGGGCUCAACCUGGGAACUGCAUUCGAAACUGGCAGGCUAGAGUCUUGUAGAGGGGGGUAGAAUUCCAGGUGUAGCGGUGAAAUGCGUAGAGAUCUGGAGGAAUACCGGUGGCGAAGGCGGCCCCCUGGACAAAGACUGACGCUCAGGUGCGAAAGCGUGGGGAGCAACAGGAUUAGAUACCCUGGUAGUCCCA
Molecule: ribosomal RNA, 726 nt
Filed under: Enterobacteriaceae bacterium HGA0144
Lineage: Bacteria; Pseudomonadati; Pseudomonadota; Gammaproteobacteria; Enterobacterales; Enterobacteriaceae
Description: bacterial SSU rRNA
Rfam family: Bacterial small subunit ribosomal RNA
Source: RNAcentral